GGGUUGCCGGGCGAGAUGUAACCGGCUGCUGAGCUGGCAGUUCUGUGUCGCUAGGCUUCGGCCCGGCCGCCGCCACACAUAAGCUGCGAUGAGGAGCUUUACGACUUCCCGGUCUUCGGGGCCGGGCGCAGCAAGGGCCAGACUCUGCGCUAGCAGGCGCUGCGCGCCAACCGGCCGGCACCUGUCGCAGAAGGUGCAACCGAUCGCACUGUCGCGCAGAAGCUCCUCAAUGGCCAGCACCAGCUGCAGCCCCGGCCGCCCACUCGCCUCACUUGAGCCUGUGUACGUGCGCCCCACAACGCCUCCCCCAGCCAGGGCCCGUGGAUCCCCGGGAGCGUCCCCGGCUAUCUGGCGCUGCUCAUCCUGGGUAGGGUCGGCCCCUCUGAGGCUGCCCGGCAUGAGGGAGCUGCAACCCUGAGCUUGACCUCUGACGGCCCUUUGUAAUAGCAUUAAGUCUUUGAAACUUUGUAGCGGGGUAGAAGGGGCUAGGAAACAAAGAAAACAUCUUUUUGAAAAUAUAAUCUGUCGGCUGGGCGAGGUGGCCCACGCCUGUAAUCCCAGCACUUUGGGAGGUCGAGGCGGGAUCGCGAGGAGAGGAGUUCAAGACCAGCCUGGCCAGCAUGGUUUCACUGAAACCCCGUCUCUACUAAAAACACAAAAAUUAGUCGGGCGUGGUGGCAGGUGCCUGUAAUCCCAGCUACUCGGGAGGCUGAGGCAGAGAAUUGUUUGAACCCGGGAUGCGGAGGUUGCAGUGAGCGGAGAUCGCGCCACUGCACUCCAGCCUGGGCAACAGACCAAGACUCCGUCUAAACAAACAAAUAUAUGUGUGUAUAUAUAUGCGAUCGAGCCCAGGAGGUUGAGAUUACAGUGAGCUGAGAUUAUAUAAGCGAUCAAGCACUGGAGGUUGAGGUUACAGUGAGCUGAGAUUGCGCCAUUGCACUCCAGCCCGUGUAACAGAGGGAGACUCUGUCUCUAAAAAAUUAUAUAUAAGUGAGAGCUUUUCUUCCAGCACUCAUGCUCAGACUGAAGAAAGUAAUUGUGCCAGGCCCGGUGGCUCACGCCCGUAAUCCCAGCAUUUUGGGAGGCAGAGGCGGUGGCGGAAGCAGGUGGAUCGCUUGAGCUCAGGAAUUCCAGACUAGUUUGGGCAACAUGGUGGAACCCUGUCUCUACAAAAA
Long non-coding RNA from Homo sapiens (human), 1175 nucleotides. Ensembl annotates it as septin 7 pseudogene 9. Its record names the gene SEPTIN7P9. The record is from Ensembl. Lineage: Eukaryota; Metazoa; Chordata; Mammalia; Primates; Hominidae.